Molecule: long non-coding RNA, 2210 nt
Organism: Bolinopsis microptera
Lineage: Eukaryota; Metazoa; Ctenophora; Tentaculata; Lobata; Bolinopsidae
Exons: 4
Source: RefSeq, a predicted model, not a curated record
AGCAAUGGAGAAAAAAUGAGACGAGGAAAAGAGAAUAGGAAAAGAAAGAGGAAAACUCUGGAUAAACCCAGACCGGGCAUACAGCAGUCAUCUUUAUGACAUUUGCUCGCUUACACAGCAUAGCAGGAUAAUGGAGAUGAUAUUGUCCAACAAAUGUCAAAGGUGUCUAUAGGACCUUCGUAAACAGAUAGCAGAACCUCGAUAGUAAACGACCUGGAGAUGGCAGUUGAACAGGUGUUACAACCCAUGAUGCUACUGGAGGAGUGUAGGCUCCAAGCUCGUUCUGUUUGCUUGGGAAUGUCCCCAUGGUAUGCAGAUAUGACGUCGACUGUUACGGUGUUAAAAGGAUCCUGGUGGCGAAUUGGGACGUCCACCACGGUAACGGAACAGAGGAUAUGUUCCUGGACGAUGAGCGGGUGCUCUACACCUCCCUGCACCGCUACGACCAGGGUAACUUUUAUCCUGGUACCGGACACCCUACAACCGUUGGGACUGGAAGUGGAGCUGGUUUCAACCUCAACGUGGGAUGGAAUCAUCCAGAACAACCUGAACGGGUACUGGUACCCAUGAUGCUCUUGGAGGAGACUCGACUGUUAGCUCGUUUACGAACUGUAGGCAGCAGAGAAUGCACCAGGGACGAGGUAUUAUAGCACUUGUUAACUCAUAACUCGACAAGAUUAUCGCCGUGGGAUUUGAUACGACAUCGUCAAAUACUGGAGUCCACAAAGGAGCAUGUACAAUUCUGCAGCAGCUCCUCAAUCGACAGAUCCUCUGGAUGGCCUGCAGACACCGGCCUGAGUACUUGAGCUGAUGCAGGUUGUUGAAGCCCACCGAAGACAAUUUAGUGUGAAGACUAAGACCGAUCUUCAAAGUUUUUAUUAGCCAUUAUCAUAUUGUGUGUAAAUGUCAUGUGAAUUAUUAUCAUUUUCAAAAGCAAAAAAUGUGCACAUCAAUUUAGAAUUAGGACUUUACAGUUUACUUUACAGAUAUGAAAGUAAAAUAACAUCUCAUUAAUCAUGUAAUACUGACGAGCUAUCAAAUAAUCAUCCAACCUAAUUAAUACUGACCCUGUCAGUGAUAAGCUAUCAAGUAAUCAUUCAACCUGAUCAUUAAUACUGAUCGUGUCAGUGACGAAUUAUGAGGAAUUCAUUGGAUCACAUUAAUGAUAUAAUAACUUAAUUACCGUUUUGAGGACGAAGGAGUGUUGUCACGGCUCAUGUUGAGUGUUGUCAGGUCUCAUGUCUCUACGACCUUCGGUUUGAGCGCGGUGAAUUCCGCGCUUCAGUCGCAACCCGCAAACUCCAUGCGGGAACUUCCUGACAUCGUAGAGACUUGAAACCUCGACCAAAGUUAACCUUUUCUUACGGUUUAUUUUGGAGUUCCACACUUUAAGAGCUUCAAACGUACUCCUUCAUGUCUAAAUUGACGAUUUAGAGAUUUUUACCUGUUAAAAUUUGGUAAAAUAUAUGGGCGUGGCAGGAUACAAGGAUACAAGGAUACAAAAGUGAUAAUUACUUUAUUGAGUACACAAUAGUUGUAAUUCUGAAAUAAUUUAAGUUACACAAUUCUAAUUAUUUACAAAUGUGUAGGGAUAAUUUAGAAAUGUUAUAUAAUGCUAGUUUUAGAAAAAUAAAUAAAUCGAGUUUGUAUGGUUCAAUUUUAUUUUAAGGUCCUAUUAUAUAUAGCAUUAUGCACUUGCCAGUAUUUGAGUGGAAAUCUGGGCUCUUAUAAUAGGCUGUAUAUUGUUCGUUCACAGAGAGAAUUGAAUGUAUUGCUCUUGCUGUGGCAGUGAGUGUGGUUGGAUCUAGAGUUUUGUUGGAGAGCAAACAAAUGGCAUGUAAUCGACUUUCCCGGUGAAGUUGGGACUUGGACAUUUUUUGGUUGUUAUUUAGCCUUAUGAACGUCAGAUAAGCUUUGUUCAAAAAUUAUUUGGAUAUGUUUUGGUUUUAUGAACCUCUCUACUGGGGAAUGUCCCCAUGGCAUGUAGAUUUGCAAUCGAACAUUACGGUGUUGACUUUUGCAACUUUAUUCUUAUUAAGAUAACAAUAAUAGUAACAACACGAUAAAUAAUAAAUGUUGUGACCCUCAUUAGUUCAAUAAUUGGUACAAAAAUAAAUUUCAAUUUUUCAAUUUCAAAUAAAUGGAUUUAUAUCUGAGUGUUAAAGUACUACAUUCAAUAAUUGACCACCAUCAUUUGAUUGGUUCAUGCA